RNAcentral lists this long non-coding RNA (925 nucleotides) under Vombatus ursinus (common wombat). RNAcentral describes it as "lncRNA (ENSVURG00010013203.1)". Lineage: Eukaryota; Metazoa; Chordata; Mammalia; Diprotodontia; Vombatidae. The record is from RNAcentral.
GCUUUCUCCCACACCUUCUUCCAUCCCCUAGGUCAUUUAUUAUUGCCCUAACUACAAAACACUACCAAGACUGGUAAACUGUCCCCUGCUGACAGACAAGGCCAUAAAACUGCUGAACACAAACCUGAAAGAAAACCACAUUAAUUAUUGGAAGAAACUUGGAACUGCUUGGACCGUAACACGGGAUUCUUGGCCAGAAUACGAACCUGUACCUCCAGCCUAUACACCCACUUUUUAUGAUGGCUGGCAGCUCCCCGAAAUCACCCAUUUUGAGCCAGUCAAGACGGAUGCUAAGGACCAAGUGGAGCAGCGGAUUGGAGGGCCUCAGUCAUCCCGCUCCCUUUUCCCACGUCUGUACAUCCAUUCUUCUCCUCUGGAAUCUACCCGCUGUGUUGUGGACUUUACCCGUGAGAAGAAAGGAGAGAAGGUUACAAAACCCCUAGAAUUUCAGAGUCAGAAAAGACCUCAGGGGCUGUGUAAUCCAGCCUAUGCCUAAAGAAGAAUGCCUUCUACAACGUGCCCCACCCUCUGGUCCUCUGGCCGGCAUGAUGGGGGGCCUACUGCCUCUCAAGGCAGCUUCCUCUGCUUUUUGUGAGAAAGCUCUUCCUGACAUCAGCCUAAAUCUGCUUCUUUGCACCUGAGACUCCUUGCUCCUCGACCUGCUCUCUAGGGCCCAACCACACCUUCCUUUCCUGUGUACACAGUCCCAUCCCCUUUGACUCAUCACUACAUGACAUCAAAUUGAGCACCUUCAUCAUUCUGGUUAAGGCAAGAAGUGACAGUCUUCAUUCCUGCCUCUUACUAAAGCCCAGAGCCAUUCCUCAAUCCUACAUAUUUAUGUUUUCUUCUCAUCUGUGCCCAGCCCCCAAAUCCUGAGCCUUUGUCCUGCUUCUUCCCUGACUCCACUUAUCCCAAUAAACCAGUG